CCAGACUCCUACGGGAGGCAGCAGUGAGGAAUAUUGGUCAAUGGGCUUACGCCUGAACCAGCCAAGUCGCGUGAGGGAAGACUGCCCUAUGGGUUGUAAACCUCUUUUGUCAGGGAGCAAUUGGCGCUACGUGUAGCGUUAUCGAGAGUACCUGAAGAAAAAGCAUCGGCUAACUCCGUGCCAGCAGCCGCGGUAAUACGGAGGAUGCGAGCGUUAUCCGGAUUUGUUGGGUUUAAAGGGUGCGUAGGCGGGCUUUUAAGUCAGCGGUAAAAAUUCGGGGCUCAACCCCGUCCGGCCGUUGAAACUGGCGUUCUUGAGUGAGCGAGAAGUAUGCGGAAUGCGUGGUGUAGCGGUGAAAUGCAUAGAUAUCACGCAGAGCUCCGAUUGCGAAGGCAGCAUACCGGCGCCCAACUGACGCUCAUGCACGAAAGCGUGGGUAUCGAACAGGAUUAGAUACCCCCGUACCA
This 467-nucleotide ribosomal RNA is filed under the name uncultured bacterium. RNAcentral describes it as "bacterial SSU rRNA". It matches the Rfam family "Bacterial small subunit ribosomal RNA", at positions 331 to 797 of the family's 1533-position model. The record is from RNAcentral.